GUUACAUGGUACCAUUGUUUUCUUAUACUUGGCCAUGGGCUAAUCUUUUCCGGGAGAGUCAUCCCUACUAAGAUGAAGAUGAGGGACUCCAGGCAUGUUUACCUAGAUCAAUGACAGCCAUAGUCCCAGGCUAUAUGGAAUUCCUGCAGUUGUGUCGUAGGAAAUGAAGGAAGGAGAGGAUGGAAAGAUACUGAGUUCUCACAAGGGGCAACAGAAACAGAAUCAAUAUUGUGGUGUCUGCUCCCCAGCCUGAGGACUCAUGCCGGGGCUUGAAGUCUCCCAGGAAGAAACUGAAGAACUCUGGAAGACGACAAAGCCAAAAGCAUGCUAUCUGAUGGACUCAGUGAGUUUAGCCAAGAAUCAAUGAAGAACACCUUUUAAAAGUUGGCACCAAAUGUUCAAAACUGCCUGGGUUGUAACACUGAAAACAAAAGUGUUGUCUCUUGGCCUAAAGUAAAUCUGUUUAUUUCAAAGCAUUCCAUAG
Long non-coding RNA from Equus caballus (horse), 484 nucleotides. RefSeq lists it as uncharacterized. NCBI's taxonomy places the organism in Eukaryota, Metazoa, Chordata, Mammalia, Perissodactyla, Equidae. The record is from RefSeq and is a predicted model, not a curated record.